UGCGCACUGGUGAUUAUUACCGUGACACACACGCACACUGUCGUCAAAUUUUGCAAUUACAGUUACUUUUUUUUCAAAACGUGUUUAUGUAUUUGCUUACUUCAUUGACUGUGAAAACAAUUUCUUGUACUUUAAUAAAAAAAAUAAUAACGCCGGCGAUAAACAAACUCUCUGAAGAUUUCAGGAGAUUCUUCGAAGGCGAUUCAGCAAGCUUGUACUUGGGGUCUAGGAAUUAAGACUGCUCCGAUGACACUCAGAGUUUAAACCUCAUCCCGUCUUCUCUGCCCUCCGACAGCGCGUCCGUGGCAUCAGACUAUCAGGACGAAGGCUUUCCUGAAAAUUGGAAAGGAGCGCAUUCAGAUUCCUACCAGAUAACGCCUGAAUGAAGCCAAGAACACAGGACACAGCUCCCCGUUUACAAAAAGCCCAGAUUUAAAUGAAAGGAGAAUUAAUCAAACCAACCAAGCUUCAGCAAAUAGUUAAAUUCCAUCUUUAGUGAACAACAGAAGCUGCCAUGCUUCUGCAUAGCUCCCUCUUUGCCAGCCUCCUCUGUUAUUUUUUUCCCCCCGAAUUCUGCAAAAUAAUUAUCUCGGUUUGAAUAAAGUUACCCAAAUCAUACAAGUAGUUUAUGCAAAUUUCUUUUUUUUUUUUUGUCCAAACGAAGCAAGUUAUAGAAAGAACUGCUGUAUUUGAGCUGAAUUAUUUUCCUUCGGUUUUUUAGUUCUUGAACAAUGUGGUAAUAAUUAACAAUAAUUAUAACUGCAUGACACAAUGUAAUGAAGUAAUAUUCCCCGGUAAAACAGAGUUUUCUAAAGAUCUUUCUUUCUUUCUUUCUUUCUUUCUUUCUUUCUUUCUUUCUUUCUUUCAGACAGUCAGUAGAUACUGUGGUUGUCUUAGUUCUCCUAAGUAUUUGUCUUACGGCUAAAACACAAUAAAAAAAAUAAAAUAAGGUACAUAAAUAAAUAGAAAAAUAAUCUUUUAAUGGUGCGAGUUAAAUUCGGACCCUGUGCAUCCUAUUGCAAUCUAAGCAGAGAGAGAGGUCAAGAUUUCAAACGAAACAGCUAGGGUAACCCUCGUCUAAAUGACCCACCAGUCUGGGGGGUGCACAGGGGUACAACUGAAAUCUGGUUCAAAGGUAUUUACAACUUCACAGCCAGAGAAAGAAUAAACGAGAAUCAGAGUUUUAUUGCCUCUCUGUCCUUAUCCCUACCCCCACAAGCCCACCUCCCACCCUCAGCUCAGAACUUCAAUAGAAACCAACUCAAAGUUUUAAAAUCAUUUCAGAACAUCACUGCAUAACAUAAGACAAUGCAUUCUAAAGGAACUGCUGCUGUGUUGUGAUAAUCCCUUGCAAAGCAUUGCUAAGAAGUAAUGUCAUUCGAAAAGCAACAUCUUAAAUUGUAAAUUAAAAAAUCUGUCCGUAACACAAAAUUAGAAAGAAGCAACAUGCAUGCAUUUAGGAUCCCUUCAGCGAGCAUGCUAAUUAACUUUGAAACUUGGAUAUUUCUUUUAUAUUUCAUUUAGAAAAUCAAAUUGUGCAAAGAUAUAUAAGCUUUUUGCUGUCCCUUACAAGUGUUAUUAAUGCAAGAAUCAUAUUUGUUUGCAACGAACCUUAGAAUAAAAAAAAAGCUUUCAAAAUAUAUAUUUUUAUAAAGUAAAAUUUGCUUUUUAACAUAACAUUCUGUUUUCUGUUAUUGUUUUGUUUAAGACAUUGGGAAAUGACUUCUCUUUUGUUGAGUCAUGACUUUAUCUAAUUGCCUUUCCAAUAAUACGUGCUAUAUUUGUAUUUUUGUUUAUUCCAAAUGCCAGCAAGACAAAAAAAAAUUAGCAUUAUUUAAUAACUGAAUACCCGAUAGCAGCUCUCCCAAAUUGACCUUUAUUUGCAGAACAGAAAGAAUUUGAUUUAACUGUGCUGUCAUGUAAAUAAUGUACCCUCGAAUACUGUCGGUAUU
Long non-coding RNA from Acipenser ruthenus (sterlet), 1952 nucleotides. RefSeq lists it as uncharacterized. Lineage: Eukaryota; Metazoa; Chordata; Actinopteri; Acipenseriformes; Acipenseridae. The record is from RefSeq and is a predicted model, not a curated record. The transcript is spliced from 3 exons.